This 523-nucleotide ribosomal RNA is filed under the name Pseudomonas sp. C30E. RNAcentral's name for it is "bacterial SSU rRNA". It matches the Rfam family "Bacterial small subunit ribosomal RNA", at positions 8 to 526 of the family's 1533-position model. The record is from RNAcentral. Lineage: Bacteria; Pseudomonadati; Pseudomonadota; Gammaproteobacteria; Pseudomonadales; Pseudomonadaceae.
AGAGUUUGAUCCUGGCUCAGAUUGAACGCUGGCGGCAGGCCUAACACAUGCAAGUCGAGCGGAUGACGGGAGCUUGCUCCUUGAUUCAGCGGCGGACGGGUGAGUAAUGCCUAGGAAUCUGCCUGGUAGUGGGGGACAACGUUUCGAAAGGAACGCUAAUACCGCAUACGUCCUACGGGAGAAAGCAGGGGACCUUCGGGCCUUGCGCUAUCAGAUGAGCCUAGGUCGGAUUAGCUAGUUGGUGAGGUAAUGGCUCACCAAGGCGACGAUCCGUAACUGGUCUGAGAGGAUGAUCAGUCACACUGGAACUGAGACACGGUCCAGACUCCUACGGGAGGCAGCAGUGGGGAAUAUUGGACAAUGGGCGAAAGCCUGAUCCAGCCAUGCCGCGUGUGUGAAGAAGGUCUUCGGAUUGUAAAGCACUUUAAGUUGGGAGGAAGGGCAGUAAGUUAAUACCUUGCUGCUUUGACGUUACCGACAGAAUAAGCACCGGCUAACUCUGUGCCAGCAGCCGCGGUAAUAC